AGCAGUUUAUGAUGAUUUAAUCUAAUUGGGAAUCUCUCUGAAAAAUAGUGAAAGAUGAAUUAAAUCUGAAACAGUG
This is a non-coding RNA of Nerophis lumbriciformis (worm pipefish), 76 nucleotides long. The record is from RefSeq and is a predicted model, not a curated record. NCBI's taxonomy places the organism in Eukaryota, Metazoa, Chordata, Actinopteri, Syngnathiformes, Syngnathidae.